This is a long non-coding RNA of Bombus pyrosoma, 1729 nucleotides long. RefSeq lists it as uncharacterized. The transcript has 3 exons. The record is from RefSeq and is a predicted model, not a curated record. Lineage: Eukaryota; Metazoa; Arthropoda; Insecta; Hymenoptera; Apidae.
CGGCGAUCUUGCGAAUUCUGUCCAGAACCAGGUCGAUAAUUUCCUUUCCCAGAGUAUAGUGUCCUCGAGCGUAAUUGUUCGCCGCGUCCUCUUUACCGGAAAUUAGCUGCUCGGGGUGAAAUAGCUGAUGGUUAGAAUAAACUAUGACACGAUAAAGAACUAUAAGAUGAUUUGCCCAGAGAAAUUUUUAAAUAAGGUUUAUGUUAUUUAAAUUAAACCUACCAAUGACUGUGGGCUCAAGGUCCAGAAAUACAGCUCGUGGAACAUAUUUUCCACCGCCGGUCUCGCUGAAGAAAGUUUGAAAACCCUCGUCGCUAGAACAACUCUGAGGCGGAAGCAUGCCAUCAGGUAAUUAUUGGAAUAUUUUCUUAUACGUAGACGACAAAAUUAAAGAAAUAAUUACCAUUGUGGCGAAUUAUCGGUAAUCGGUGGAGAGAAAGAUAGGCGAGACGAAUGUUCACAGGAUGAACGUCCGAAUUCAACUGAAUGAACGAUACAUUCUGUGGAAGAAUUUUGUUUCCGUUGCUAAGAAGUAACAAUUUGUAAUGAAACAUACGGUGUUUCAAUUGCAAACUACAGAAUCGCUUCUUACAUCGAUUUUGAGUUUUCAAGAAAUUAUUUAAUUAUUUCCUGCUUCGCUUACAAAUAUGAAUUUGUUUAUUUAUGCUUUCAAGCUUCGUUUCUAAACAUUGGUUUAUUUAUUUACGAAAUUUCCGAAAACUUCGAGCGACAAGAAUUUUGUUGGCUCGCCAAUUUUUAAUCUUGGAUUUGUUUGCAAACUCUGGUUUUUCAUUUUGUUCAUUUACAAUUUUGAUGUUUGUUUAUUUAUGUUUUCAAUGAUUGUUUGCAAACAUUGGUUUGUUUGUUUGGUUGAAAAUGGAAAGUCAACAAGUUUCCUCGUACUUGUGGUAAUGUCAGUCUUAAGAAAUUCUUUUCAGAAGUGAGCCUAAAAAUUUGCCAAACUAUUUAUUUCUAGAAUGAAAUUGAUAGGAAUAGGAUUAGGAAUUUAGUUACGGGUAAAUAAUAAAACAAUUGUUUAAUUUUUUCCAUGUAAAAAUAUUCAUUUAUCAAAUAACAUUGUUGAGAAUUAUGUGGUUACAAUAAUUUGUAAUCGAACAAUAUUCCUAGAUUUUCUGUUUUUGCUUAAUCACUACAAAAACGAUCUUUUUAUUGAACUACCCCUUAUCUUGUCUUAUCACUACUUGCAGUAUCUUUAGCUUUCUACGUAGCUUAUACAUAGAUUAAUACUAUAUGGUAUAUAUAUUUCUAUACAAAUACUAACAUUAUAAGCAUAUCCUAAUAUUUUAGAAUUUUUGCCUUAAGUAAUAAUAUAUUAAAAAAUUAAUGUGUAAUGUAUCUUGAAAUUAUUAAAAUGUUCUUAAUGUUCUGAAGGUUAUCAAAGAUUGUUAAAAUAUAUAUGAUAGCAGUUACUAUUGACGAGUAAAGCCCAAUUUUUCAAGAGAUUAGUAACCCCUGCAAGAUGAUCACCCCUGUUGCAAGAAUAUUUUUUCACCUACAUCAAGCGGACGAGGUGGCCGAGAGGUUAAGGCGUUGGACUGCUAAUCCAAUGUGCUCUGCACGCGUGGGUUCGAAUCCCAUCCUCGUCGAUUACUUUUUGCUUCUAACAUUUUGUUGAAUUUGAUCUGUUAUUUUCGAAUUAUUCACGUAACACUCAUAUAGGAAAUCAUAUACUUAUUAAAUAUUAAAACUAAUGAAUAUAUAUAUAUAU